GAUGAAGGCUGGCGGCGUGCCUAAUAAAUGCAAGUCGAGCGAACGGACGAGAAGCUUGCUUCUCUGAUGUUAGCGGCGGACGGGUGAGUAACACGUGGAUAACCUACCUAUAAGACUGGGAUAACUUCGGGAAACCGGAGCUAAUACCGGGUAAUAUUUUGAAACGCAUGGUUCAAAAGUGAAAGACGGUCUUGCUGUCUCUUAUAGAUGGAUCCGCGCUGCAUUAGCUAUGUGGUAAGGUAACGGCUUACGAAGGCAACGAUGCAUAGCCGACCUGUGAGGCUCACCGGCCACCCUGGAACUGCGGCUCGGUCCAUCCUCCUACGGGAGGCAGCAGUAUGUACUCUUCCGCAUAGCUCUGAAGCCUGCCGGAGCAACCCCGCGUGAGAUAUGUAGGUCUUCGGAUCGUAAAGCGCUGUUAUUAGUGAAGAACAUAUGUGUAAGUAACUGUGCACAUCUUGACGGUACCUAGUCAGAGAGCCACGGCUAACUACGUG
Molecule: ribosomal RNA, 497 nt
Filed under: uncultured bacterium
Lineage: Bacteria
Description: partial 16S ribosomal RNA
Rfam family: Bacterial small subunit ribosomal RNA
Source: RNAcentral